CGAGCGUUGUUCGGAUUCAUUGGGCGUAAAGGGUGCGUAGGCGGCCUGUUAAGUUUGGUGUGAAAUCCCGGGGCUCAACCCUGGAAUGGCAUUGAAUACUGGCGGACUAGAGUACCGGAGAGGAAACUGGAAUUUACGGUGUAGCAGUGAAAUGCGUAGAGAUCGUAAGGAAGACCAGUGGCGAAGGCGAGUUUCUGGACGGUAACUGACGCUGAGGCACGAAGGCCAGGGGAGCAAACGGG
Molecule: ribosomal RNA, 242 nt
Filed under: uncultured bacterium
Lineage: Bacteria
Description: partial 16S ribosomal RNA
Rfam family: Bacterial small subunit ribosomal RNA
Source: RNAcentral